Molecule: transfer RNA, 88 nt
Filed under: Verrucomicrobiota bacterium
Lineage: Bacteria; Pseudomonadati; Verrucomicrobiota
Description: Verrucomicrobia bacterium tRNA-Ser
Rfam family: tRNA
About the family: Transfer RNA (tRNA) molecules are approximately 80 nucleotides in length. Their secondary structure includes four short double-helical elements and three loops (D, anti-codon, and T loops).
Source: RNAcentral
GGAGGGGUGGCAGAGUGGUUGAUUGCGCCGGUCCUGAAAACCGGAAGGCCGAAAGGCCUCGUGAGUUCGAAUCUCACCCCCUCCGCCA